UAUGUGAUCGUCUCUCGCAUAUCAAUAAGCGGAGGAAAAGAAACUAACAAGGAUUCCCCUAGUAACGGCGAGUGAAGCGGGAAGAGCUCAAAUUUGAAAUCUUAAAGGGUUUCCCUUUACGAAUUGUAGUUUAAAGAAGUGUUUUCUGUUGAGGUUUUGGUAAAAGUUCUUUGGAAUAGGACAUCAUAGAGGGUGAGAAUCCCGUAUUUGACCUUUACUUUCAACUUUGUGAUACACUUUCAAAGAGUCGGAUUGUUUGGGAAUGCAGUCCAAAAUGGGUGGUAAAUUUCAUCUAAAGCUAAAUAUUGGCGAGAGACCGAUAGCGAACAAGUACCGUGAGGGAAAGAUGAAAAGAACUUUGAAAAGAGAGUUAAACAGUACGUGAAAUUGUCAAAAGGGAAGCGUUUGACACCAGUGUUGUUUUUCUGAAAAUCAAUUAAAGAACUGUUUAUGCUAAGCUGUUUAGACUUUAUCAGCUAUCUGUUUAGUUUUGAGCUUUUCUUUAAUGCACUUUUCAGUUAACAAGUCAACAUCAAUUUCUUUCGCUGUAAAAAAGCUUGAGGAAGGUGGCUUGAGAUUCGUCUUAAGUGUUUAUAGCCUCUUGCCUAUGCAGUCGGAGAGAUUGAGGUCUGCAGCGUAGAUCCUUCGGGGCUAAAUGCAUUUGUGCUAAGUUAUAGCAUUUUAUAGACAACUUGUUGACUAUGAUUUGUCUUGUAGCUUACUCGCUUAUGUUAUUUUACCUACGCUUAGGAUGUUGAGCGCAUGUCUCUCUCU
RNAcentral lists this ribosomal RNA (774 nucleotides) under uncultured Neocallimastigales. Its description in RNAcentral is "partial large subunit ribosomal RNA". It matches the Rfam family "Eukaryotic large subunit ribosomal RNA", at positions 24 to 616 of the family's 3401-position model. Lineage: Eukaryota; Fungi; Neocallimastigomycota; Neocallimastigomycetes; Neocallimastigales. The record is from RNAcentral.